This 457-nucleotide ribosomal RNA is filed under the name [Eubacterium] infirmum. RNAcentral's name for it is "bacterial SSU rRNA". It matches the Rfam family "Bacterial small subunit ribosomal RNA", at positions 28 to 484 of the family's 1533-position model. The record is from RNAcentral. Lineage: Bacteria; Bacillati; Bacillota; Clostridia; Peptostreptococcales; Anaerovoracaceae.
GAUGAACGCUGGCGGCGUGCCUAACACAUGCAAGUCGAGCGAGAAGUAAAGAAAUGAAGCUUCGGUAGAUUUUCAUUAUGGGAAGCGGCGGACGGGUGAGUAACGCGUAGGCAACCUGCCCUGUACAGGGGGAUAGCCACCCGAAAAGGUGAUUAAUACCCCAUGAUGCAAGAGAUACACAUGUAUCACUUGUCAAAGAUUUAUCGGUAUGGGAUGGGCCUGCGUCUGAUUAGCUAGUUGGUAGGGUAACGGCUUACCAAGGCAACGAUCAGUAGCCGACCUGAGAGGGUGAUCGGCCACAUUGGAACUGAGACACGGUCCAAACUCCUACGGGAGGCAGCAGUGGGGAAUAUUGCACAAUGGGGGAAACCCUGAUGCAGCAACGCCGCGUGAAGGAAGAAGGCCUUCGGGUUGUAAACUUCUGUCCUAGGGGAAGAAACAAAUGACAUACCCUGGA